RNAcentral lists this ribosomal RNA (301 nucleotides) under uncultured bacterium. RNAcentral describes it as "partial 16S ribosomal RNA". It matches the Rfam family "Bacterial small subunit ribosomal RNA", at positions 509 to 807 of the family's 1533-position model. The record is from RNAcentral.
CAGUCGCCGCGGGAAUACGAAGGGUGCAAGCGUUAAUCGGAAUUACUGGGCGUAAAGCGUGCGUAGGCGGUGAGUUAAGUCUGCUGUGAAAUCCCCGGGCUCAACCUGGGAAUGGCAGUGGAUACUGGCUCGCUAGAGUGUGUCAGAGGAUGGUGGAAUUCCCGGUGUAGCGGUGAAAUGCGUAGAGAUCGGGAGGAAUAUCAGUGGCGAAGGCGGCCAUCUGGGACAACACUGACGCUGAGGCACGAAUGCGUGGGGAGCAAACAGGAUUAGAUACCCGCGUAGUCCCUGUCUCUUAUAC